GACGAACGCUGGCGGCGUGCUUAACACAUGCAAGUCGAACGAAGUGGCGAACGGGUGAGUAACGCGUAAUCAACCUGCCCUUCAGAGGGGGACAACAGUUGGAAACGACUGCUAAUACCGCAUACUGAAGGAGGGGAUUGCGUCUGAUUAGCUAGUUGGAGGGGUAACGGCCCACCAAGGCGAAGAUCAGUAGCCGGUCUGGGAGGGUGAACGGCCACAAUGGGACUGAGACACGGCCCAGGCUCCUACGGGAGGGAGCAGUGGGGAAACUUCCGCAAUGGGCGGAAGUCUGGCGGAGCAAAGCCGGGGGAGGGGUGACGGCCUUCGGGUUGUAAAGCUCUGUUAAUCGGGACGCGGUACCGGAAUAGAAAGCCACGGCUAACUACGUGCCAGCCGCCGCGGUAAUUC
This 408-nucleotide ribosomal RNA is filed under the name uncultured bacterium. RNAcentral describes it as "partial 16S ribosomal RNA". It matches the Rfam family "Bacterial small subunit ribosomal RNA", at positions 28 to 526 of the family's 1533-position model. The record is from RNAcentral.